Molecule: non-coding RNA, 881 nt
Organism: Gossypium raimondii (Peruvian cotton)
Lineage: Eukaryota; Viridiplantae; Streptophyta; Magnoliopsida; Malvales; Malvaceae
Source: Rfam
UUUCUAAAAUGGAUUACUAAUCCUUAAAUUUUUGAGGAAUCCUUCAUCAGUGGUUGUCAAUGACUAAUUUUUCUUAAUCUUUUUGACCUUGGUUCCAUAGGACCAAGUCAGAAAGAUUGAAAUGGGAUUAGAUACCCCAGUAGUCCUAGCCGUAAAUGAUGGAUACUAGGCGCUGUGUGUAUCGGCCCGUGCAGUGCUGUAGAUAACGAGUUAAGUAUGCCACUUGAGGAGUACGUUCGCAAGAAUAAAACUCAAAGGAAUUUACGGGGGCCCGCACAAGUGGUGGAGCAUGUGGUUAAUUCGACGCAAAGUGAAGAACCUUACAAGGGCUUGACCUACAGCGAAUCCUCUUAAAAGAGAGGGGUGCCUUCGGGAACGCGGACACAGGUGGUGCAUGGCUAUCGUCAGCUCGUGCCGUAACGUGUUGGGUAAGUCCCGUAACGAGUGCAACCAUCAUGUUUAGUUGCCACUAUUGAGUUUGGAACCCUGAGCAAACUACCAAUGAUAAGUCAGAGGAAGGUGAGGAUGACAUCAAGUCAUUAUGCCCCUUAUGCGCUGGGUGACACACAUGUUACAAUGGACAGGACAAAGGGUCACGAUCCCGCGAGGGUGAGCUAACUCUAAUAAUACGUCCUCAGUUCUGAUUGCAGGCUACAACUCGCUUGCAUAAAUCCAGAAUUCCUAGUUAUCGUCGAUCAGCCAUACGGUGCUGUAUUCGUUCCCGGGCCUUGUACACAUUACCCGUCACACUAUGGGAGCUAGCCAUGCCCGAAGUCAGUACCUUAAUCGCAAUGAGAGGGAUGCCAGAGGCAGGUCUAGUGACUAGAGUGAAGUCGUAACAAGGUAGUCGUACUGAAAGGUGUGGUUGGAUCACUUCCUUU